This is a long non-coding RNA of Helianthus annuus (common sunflower), 1252 nucleotides long. RefSeq lists it as uncharacterized. The transcript has 4 exons. The record is from RefSeq and is a predicted model, not a curated record. Lineage: Eukaryota; Viridiplantae; Streptophyta; Magnoliopsida; Asterales; Asteraceae.
CCCGCUUCCCCCAAACUAGUUCUCGAGUUGAGGUGUUUUGGUUCUCAUAUCUAGGGCAUGUUUGGCUUUCCUUUUGAAAACUCCUUUUCAACUUCUUUGAGAAGUUAAUAAGUCAGAAUUUCUAACUUAUUGACUUCUUGCCUCACAUCACAUACAAUCCCAAACACUCUAAAAGUCCUUUUUUAUGUUUUCAAGAAGUAAAUAAGUUAAUAAGUUGGUAAAAUAAGGAAUCCCAAACACCACCCUAAGGUGUCUUCAACAUCUAGGUUCUUGGCAUUCCAACCCCUUGACUUGUAUUAGGUUUGCCUCUCUUUCUCUUCUGCUCAGAUGAGUUUAACCUCUUUGUCCCUGCACCACCAAAACCUACGGCUCAUCACCACCAACCAGCGGCUAAUCAACAACCCCUCGAUUUCUAUGUUCAGGUGCAGGUUUGAAGAUGCACGCCAAGUGCUUGAUGAAACGCUACAACCAAACUCACUUUCGUUUCACAUUAUUUUUUACAAGAUAAGUGGAUAUUUAUCUUAGGUUUAAUUGUGUUGAUGUAUAGGAAUUGUGUGUCUUCUGAUCUGAUAGCUUGUUAAUAUUUAGUUUUCUAUUUAGCAUAAUUAUUGUCCGUGGAACUGGUAGGAUAUUGAAAAAUCUUGAAUGUUGUCCGUCGAUAAUCUUUUUUUACCUUUUAAGGUAAUUAUAAAUACAUACAUACAUUUUUAUGUUGUACAUGACUAACAUGUUUUCUUUAAUGAAUCUGAGUUUUGUUAUUAUCUAGUGUCUAAAAGAUGAGAGGUUUUUAUGCUGGCUAUUGGGGUAUCGAUUACGCCAUUAUUGCUCAUGAUAAGCAGGAUUUUAUAUGCACAUCUGUACUAUCAGACUUGAGAACCGAUUAGCUGGUAGAGAAGACAUGUUUGGAUUGCUAAGACAUCUACUAUUUUAAACGUUGCAAGACUUGUUGCUAUACAAAAGUAAGCAUUCAAUAGAAGAUAAUACGAUGAAGGUGAAGUUUCAACAUGAAUAAAGUCCAAUAAUGUUAAUAAAGUUAAACUAAGACCCAUCACAAAACAUGAAGCAUAGAAGCCUGUAGAAUCCUACACAUUGACGGAUAAGCCAAUAGAUAUACAAUAGUUGAUGUUUUAUACUCAAUACUAUUUUUUUCUAUUUUUUUAUUUACUUAGUUUUAAGAGAAUGCUUGAUGUAUUUAUAUUGUAUGUUAACCUAAUAUUUGUUUGUUCAUAGUUUAUUAUUUCAUGUUUAUAUA